UUGGAGUCUUUGUACUGAGCCAUGGACAAGUAAAAGUCAGUUUCAAACUGCAUGACUCUCCAUAGUUGAAACCAAAACCAUCUGGAACCCCGAAUGCAAUGAUACUGCUCAAGAUGAUCUUCACUUGAGCUAUCAAAACUGAAGAAAAAUUUUGAGAAUGGCAUUGAAAUCACAUACGCGGCUACCUCAUCACUUUCUCAGUAGAUAAAUUCAUCAAGGCCCAUCCCCUUAUGAAUAUCUGUCGGUUCUGUCCACUUAUUCCACUUUUAAAACAAGCUAAAAGUAUUGCUUUUAAAAUCAAGUGAAAAGAAAGCAGUGCUUUAGUUGUCGUGUGGGAUGUGGGAAAGGUUUCUUUCUUGAUGAGUGAAGAUGAAAUAGCUGGUAUGAAACUUACAUAUAUUCCAAGAAGUGUUUUGGACAGCCAGCGUAGUUAUUCUACGUUGUUUUUUGUUUGUUUGUUUGUUUGUUUUGUUAUUUUUUUUUUCAAGGAAAGAAUUAGUCGUCUGAGUGCUUUAGAGAAGUUAUUUACUCCCUUAUUCCUUAUUUAGAAAGUUCUUGUCUCUGGCCAUGUUUAGAGUCCUAGAAGCCUAUUUUUUGCCAAACUUUUAACAUUCUUAGUAAUGAAAGCCACUUUAGAUCUUUUCCUGUGUCUUAUGCAAACCUCUAACUAACCUAGGAAUAGACUCUGGUUUCCCAUUUCCCUGAGGCUCACUCUGAAGUAGUUGAAGGGGCAAUUUGUCACAGAGAUAAAUCCAUCUUACCUGUUACGCAUCAUGUAGGCAGCACAUUUAUUCACAGAGACAGAGAAGGCAUGACUGUUAACACUGCUGAAUCAGUGCUUUCUAAACUGAGAUUAUAGAAUCAGUG
Tympanuchus pallidicinctus (lesser prairie-chicken) is the source of this 867-nucleotide long non-coding RNA. RefSeq lists it as uncharacterized. The record is from RefSeq and is a predicted model, not a curated record. The transcript is spliced from 3 exons. Lineage: Eukaryota; Metazoa; Chordata; Aves; Galliformes; Phasianidae.